CCUUUCGGCGGGCGCGAGGCCGAGGGGGCGGGGCCACGCGGAAGAGGUACUGCUGACGGCAGGGGCGGGGCCACGCGGAGGAGACCGGGCUCGUGGCGGGGGCGGGGCCAGGCGGAGAAGGGUACACCUCCCUCCCCCUUUCCCGGGGCCACCGGCACCCCCGCGCGCAGGCUCCUGCUCCUGCUCCGGGCGCAGCGGCCCUGGGAGAGGGGGUGCAGGUGCCUUCUUGCUGAAAUGGACUCCUAAUCAUAAUUACUCAGCAUAGAUUGAUUUCCUAACCCGAAGCCUGCUAUCUCAGGUUUCUGGUUCAGCGGCAUGACUCAGACAUUUCUGAAGACAUUAUAUUAAGUUAAUUAGGUUUAUUUUGGAAGACAUAAGUCUGUAUGACUAGUUGGAAAACUAUUCUCUUUUACCAUUUGGCUUUUGUUCUUUUCGAUUUACAUCUGAAGGCUAAAAGACUUUUCCAUACACACUCCGGUAGGGAGUGCUGGUUGAUAAAAGUACACACUUAUUUAUAUUAUGUUUAUUUUUUUAAAAUUUUUAUUUUUAAGUAAUCGUUAUACCCAGCCUACAGCUUGAACUCAGAACCGUGAGACUGGGUCCCAUCGCUUUACCAGCUGAGCCACAGGUGCCCGAAACAAAUACCUAGUAGUUUCUACUGAAAAUUAACUUUUCUCUCUCCAUUGGUUUUGUUUCGUCUAACAGCAGUGUAUCUGGACACGAUGGUUCGACUGAACCGUUUCUCGACUUUGGGAGGGUGUGAAGGCAAUACUGAUUCAGUAGGAACUAGGCGGGUGGACUUUUAAGUUUUGGUCUUUCCUGGGCUAGUGCUGUCCCAUCAGCUACGUCAGCCACGCGAUCACGAGGGCGAAGAGCCCCUAAGCUCACCGCCAGUGUGAACACGUCCUGCCGCUCCGCCCUGUCGCUGUCCCGACAGUGUCUCUUGUGCAAGAUGCUAGCAGCCCGGCGUAGGCCGCAGGGCCCUGAGCUAUGACGUUCAGUAGGCCACAUGCAGCAAACGCGUUUCUGACUCCUGACAUUUCCAGUUUAUAAUGGGCUUGUUGAGAUUGAAUCCUAUUGUAAGUUGAGGAAGAUCCUCUGGCAACUCAUUCUAGCCGGCACUAAGCUCUCUUCUGCUCCUGUGGACAUUUCAUACAAGUGGAAUCUCGCAGUACGUGGCCUUGCGUGACUGGCUUCUUUCACUCAGCAUGAGCUCUCACUCGGCCAGAGUACAAGAGAAGAGUGCUCGAGCAAGACCAGCGGGCUUCUAGGCUUCUCCUGCGGCCUGCCUUGGUCACGUGGGUCAGUGAGCGCCUGACCACCUGCUCUCCAGCCUUCGCAGACUUGGUGUGGUCUUCUCUCCUGUCUGGGGACCCGCUCCUUCGCAUCCUGUAGUUGUCACUGAAGUUGGGUUCAGGACGGAGCAGAGGUCUUGCUGCUGCAGCCCUGGGCUCUAGGCAGCCUGCGCGCCCCCCCAGCCUGGGUUUGAGCUGCGACCCCCUUACCAUCUGAGUUACUCCUGCUAUA
Lutra lutra (Eurasian river otter) is the source of this 1527-nucleotide long non-coding RNA. RefSeq lists it as uncharacterized. NCBI's taxonomy places the organism in Eukaryota, Metazoa, Chordata, Mammalia, Carnivora, Mustelidae. The transcript has 5 exons. The record is from RefSeq and is a predicted model, not a curated record.